ACCGAAUUUCAAAGGGUCAGAUAAACCAUCAGGCAGGUCAAUUUCCGGAAGCAUCGCCUAAACGACGAGGCUCUCUAGGCGUCGGCGAUCCGUAGGCAUUCAAACUUCCACAAAUUCAAUUAAUUACGCCAAGAGAGGACAAUGCUCGAGCAAUUCCUCGAGGCGAGAGCAGCAUUGCCAAUUAGCCGCAUGCAUUCACAAC
This 202-nucleotide long non-coding RNA is filed under the name Eucalyptus grandis. RNAcentral's name for it is "long non-coding RNA (EGRA_LNC003868)". Lineage: Eukaryota; Viridiplantae; Streptophyta; Magnoliopsida; Myrtales; Myrtaceae. The record is from RNAcentral.